UGGGAAGUAAAAUGGGGAGUAUGUCCUGG
This 29-nucleotide non-coding RNA is filed under the name Macaca fascicularis (crab-eating macaque). Lineage: Eukaryota; Metazoa; Chordata; Mammalia; Primates; Cercopithecidae. The record is from RNAcentral. RNAcentral also lists the same sequence under 1 other name.